CGCGGCGUAGCUCAUUGGUAGAGUUGGCGGUCGGUAACCGUCAGUUAGUUGGUUCGAUUCCAAUCGUCCCCG
Molecule: transfer RNA, 72 nt
Filed under: Pseudorhodoplanes sinuspersici
Lineage: Bacteria; Pseudomonadati; Pseudomonadota; Alphaproteobacteria; Hyphomicrobiales
Rfam family: tRNA
About the family: Transfer RNA (tRNA) molecules are approximately 80 nucleotides in length. Their secondary structure includes four short double-helical elements and three loops (D, anti-codon, and T loops).
Source: Rfam by way of RNAcentral